GGAGACGUGCCUGAGUGGCCGAAAGGAGCGGUUUGCUAAACCGUCGUACAUGUUAAAGUGUACCCAGGGUUCGAAUCCCUGCGUCUCCG
Molecule: transfer RNA, 89 nt
Filed under: Leptospira sp.
Lineage: Bacteria; Pseudomonadati; Spirochaetota; Leptospiria; Leptospirales; Leptospiraceae
Also listed under: 1 other name
Description: tRNA-Ser
Rfam family: tRNA
About the family: Transfer RNA (tRNA) molecules are approximately 80 nucleotides in length. Their secondary structure includes four short double-helical elements and three loops (D, anti-codon, and T loops). Further hydrogen bonds mediate the characteristic L-shaped molecular structure. tRNAs have two regions of fundamental functional importance: the anti-codon, which is responsible for specific mRNA codon recognition, and the 3' end, to which the tRNAs corresponding amino acid is attached (by aminoacyl-tRNA synthetases). tRNAs cope with the degeneracy of the genetic code in two manners: having more than one tRNA (with a specific anti-codon) for a particular amino acid; and 'wobble' base-pairing, i.e. permitting non-standard base-pairing at the 3rd anti-codon position.
Source: RNAcentral